RNAcentral lists this unclassified non-coding RNA (380 nucleotides) under uncultured Gemmatimonadaceae bacterium. RNAcentral's name for it is "contains 16S-23S intergenic spacer region". The record is from RNAcentral. Lineage: Bacteria; Pseudomonadati; Gemmatimonadota; Gemmatimonadia; Gemmatimonadales; Gemmatimonadaceae.
UCCGGUUUGGCACCGGCAGUCUCCCUAGAGUUCCCGGCUUUACCCGCUGGUAACUAGGGACAAGGGUUGCGCUCGUUGCGGGACUUAACCCAACAUCUCACGACACGAGCUGACGACAGCCAUGCAGCACCUGUGCAGGAGCUCCGAAGAGAAGCCAGGGUUUCCCCCAGCGGUCCCCUGCAUGUCAAGCCCAGGUAAGGUUCUUCGCGUUGCGUCGAAUUAAACCACAUGCUCCACCGCUUGUGCGGGCCCCCGUCAAUUCCUUUGAGUUUCAGCCUUGCGGCCGUACUCCCCAGGCGGGGCACUUCAUGCGUUAGCGCCGGCCCUCACGGGGUCGCUCCCCCAAGGACCUAGUGCCCAUCGUUUACGGCGUGGACUAC